CUUUCCCAAGCUGCUGCCGAAGAUGGCGGAGGUGCAGGUCCUGGUGCUUGAUGGUCGAGGCCAUCUCCUGGGCCGCCUGGCGGCCAUCGUGGCUAAACAGGUACUGCUGGGCCGGAAGGUGGUGGUCGUACGCUGCGAAGGCAUCAACAUUUCUGGCAAUUUCUACAGAAACAAGUUGAAGUACCUGGCUUUCCUCCGCAAGCGGAUGAACACCAACCCUUCCCGAGGCCCCUACCACUUCCGGGCCCCCAGCCGCAUCUUCUGGCGGACCGUGCGAGGUAUGCUGCCCCACAAGACCAAGCGAGGCCAGGCCGCUCUGGACCGUCUCAAGGUGUUUGACGGCAUCCCACCGCCCUAUGACAAGGUGAGCUGUGCCAACCCCUGCAGGCAGCGGCCUUACCUGUGGCGUCCAUGAUGUUCCGCCACUACCUACAUUGUUUGAUCCUCAUGAAAGCAGCACUGGCUGAGACGCCGGCCCAGCCAACCUCCUUCCCUGUCUGUCCCUCCCGGGCUCUAAGCCCCUCUCUUUCUCUAACAGAAAAAGCGGAUGGUGGUUCCUGCUGCCCUCAAGGUUGUGCGUCUGAAGCCUACAAGAAAGGUGAGUCCCAGCUUACACUGCGCCAUCUACUUUGGAGAUUUCAGGCCUGCUGAGGGACCUGGGGCCCCGGAGCCUGGCAGAUGAUGUCCUUAUCUCACGAUGGUCUGCGGAUGUCCCUGCGGGAAUGGC
RNAcentral lists this small RNA (727 nucleotides) under Pongo abelii (Sumatran orangutan). Its description in RNAcentral is "retained intron". The stretch from base 404 to 474 matches the Rfam family "Small nucleolar RNA SNORD34". The record is from RNAcentral. Lineage: Eukaryota; Metazoa; Chordata; Mammalia; Primates; Hominidae.